UAAUCUAUCUAGGGUAGAUCAUCAUCUAGUUGUGGCAGAUUCACACUUGAUUGCUCAGAAUUGCUUGUUAUCUCAAGCCCGACUACAUCUUUCUCCCUGUGUUGGAGAGAAUUCAUCCUCGAGUUCUGUUCUUCAUUCAAAUAAAAUAUCAAAUGCUAGACAUUGAAG
Non-coding RNA from Populus trichocarpa (black cottonwood), 168 nucleotides. Lineage: Eukaryota; Viridiplantae; Streptophyta; Magnoliopsida; Malpighiales; Salicaceae. The record is from Rfam.